This 301-nucleotide ribosomal RNA is filed under the name uncultured bacterium. RNAcentral describes it as "partial 16S ribosomal RNA". It matches the Rfam family "Bacterial small subunit ribosomal RNA", at positions 509 to 807 of the family's 1533-position model. The record is from RNAcentral.
CAGCCGCCGCGGGAAUACGAAGGGGGCUAGCGUUGUUCGGAAUUACUGGGCGUAAAGGGUGCGUAGGCGGCUUGACAAGUCUUGUGUGAAAUCUAUGGGCUCAACCCAUAGUCUGCACGGGAAACUGUCGGGCUUGGGAGUGGGAGAGGUGAGUGGAAUUUCCGGUGUAGCGGUGAAAUGCGCAGAUAUCAGGAGGAACACCGGUGGCGAAGGCGGUUCUCUGGGAAUGUUCUGACGCUGAGGAGCGAAAGUGUGGGGAGCGAACAGGAUUAGAUACCCGCGUAGUCCCUGUCUCUUAUAC